This 250-nucleotide unclassified non-coding RNA is filed under the name Hevea brasiliensis (rubber tree). Lineage: Eukaryota; Viridiplantae; Streptophyta; Magnoliopsida; Malpighiales; Euphorbiaceae. The record is from RNAcentral.
CUCCUGCUGAUCUCUGACUCCAUCUCUGGUUCUUCAAGGCAGUCUCCAAUUUUCCUGGUGCAACCCCUCCUCACCAUGGCAUCAAUCUCACUGUUUUCCAGUGAAUUAAGGCCUGGAACUGAAACCCCACUGCAAAUCGUGAAAUGGGUGUGAAGGAAAAGGAGUCCUAGAAGGUAGAGUGUGGGUUUGGACAUUUUCUUGGAGUGGCUUGAUUGGUUCUUGUCUUCUGUUUUUGAGUUCUUGUGGACUC